GGAUUGUGGCUCAGCGGUAGAGUGCUCCCUUAGCAUGGGUGGGACCCGGGUUCGAUUCUCAGCACCA
This 67-nucleotide transfer RNA is filed under the name Marmota monax (woodchuck). RNAcentral describes it as "tRNA.Ala". Lineage: Eukaryota; Metazoa; Chordata; Mammalia; Rodentia; Sciuridae. The record is from RNAcentral.